GGAAGUAAAAGUCGUAACAAGGUCUCCGUUGGUGAACCAGCGGAGGGAUCAUUGCUGGAACGCGCCCCAGGCGCACCCAGAAACCCUUUGUGAACUUAUACCUUACUGUUGCCUCGGCGUACGCUGGCCCCCAUGGGUCCCUCUGUCUACAGAGGAGCAGGCGCGCCGGCGGCCAAGUUAACUCUUGUUUUUACACUGAAACUCUGAGAAAAAAACAAAAUGAAUCAAAACUUUCAACAACGGAUCUCUUGGUUCUGGCAUCGAUGAAGAACGCAGCGAAAUGCGAUAAGUAAUGUGAAUUGCAGAAUUCAGUGAAUCAUCGAAUCUUUGAACGCACAUUGCGCCCUCUGGUAUUCCGGAGGGCAUGCCUGUUCGAGCGUCAUUUCAACCCUCAAGCCUGGCUUGGUGUUGGGGCACUGCCUGUAAAAGGGCAGGCCCUCAAAUCUAGUGGCGAGCUCGCCAGGACCCCGAGCGUAGUAGUUAAACCCUCGCUUUGGAAGGCCCUGGCGGUGCCCUGCCGUUAAACCCCCAACUCUUUGAAAAUUUGACCUCGGAUCAGGUAGGAAUACCCGCUGAACUUAAGCAUAUCAAUAAGCCGAGA
This 601-nucleotide ribosomal RNA is filed under the name Phomopsis sp. IP-81. RNAcentral's name for it is "eukaryotic LSU rRNA". The stretch from base 229 to 382 matches the Rfam family "5.8S ribosomal RNA". Lineage: Eukaryota; Fungi; Ascomycota; Sordariomycetes; Diaporthales; Diaporthaceae. The record is from RNAcentral.